UACGUAGGGGGCGAGCGUUGUCCGGAUUCAUUGGCGUAAAGCGCGCGUAGGCGGCUCGACAAGUCGGCCGUGAAAUCUCCAGGCUCAACUUGGAGGGUCGGGCGAGACUGUCGGGCUCGAGGUGGGCAGAGGCAGUGGAAUUCCGGGUGUAGUGGUGGAAUGCGUAGAGAGUCCGGAGGAACACCAGUGGCGAAGGCGGCUGGCCUGGGCCUGGCCUGACGCUGAGGCGGCGAAAGCGUGGGAGCGAGUCCGG
Molecule: ribosomal RNA, 253 nt
Filed under: uncultured bacterium
Lineage: Bacteria
Description: partial 16S ribosomal RNA
Rfam family: Bacterial small subunit ribosomal RNA
Source: RNAcentral